RNAcentral lists this ribosomal RNA (433 nucleotides) under uncultured bacterium. RNAcentral's name for it is "partial 16S ribosomal RNA". It matches the Rfam family "Bacterial small subunit ribosomal RNA", at positions 29 to 507 of the family's 1533-position model. The record is from RNAcentral.
AGCGAACGCUGGCGGCAGGCUUAACACAUGCAAGUCGAGCGGGCACUUCGGUGCCAGCGGCAGACGGGUGAGUAACACGUGGGAACGUACCCUUUGGUUCGGAAUAACGCUGGGAAACUAGCGCUAAUACCGGAUACGCCCUUUUGGGGAAAGGCUUGCUGCCGAAGGAUCGGCCCGCGUCUGAUUAGCUAGUUGGUGGGGUAAUGGCCUACCAAGGCGACGAUCAGUAGCUGGUCUGAGAGGAUGAUCAGCCACACUGGGACUGAGACACGGCCCAGACUCCUACGGGAGGCAGCAGUGGGGAAUAUUGGACAAUGGGCGCAAGCCAGAUCCAGCCAUGCCGCGUGAGUGAUGAAGGCCUUAGGGUUGUAAAGCUCUUUUGUCCGGGACGAUAAUGACGGUACCGGAAGAAUAAGCCCCGGCUAACUUCGUG